This 72-nucleotide transfer RNA is filed under the name Monilinia vaccinii-corymbosi. RNAcentral's name for it is "tRNA-Glu". It matches the Rfam family "tRNA". From Rfam's summary of the family: Transfer RNA (tRNA) molecules are approximately 80 nucleotides in length. Their secondary structure includes four short double-helical elements and three loops (D, anti-codon, and T loops). Further hydrogen bonds mediate the characteristic L-shaped molecular structure. tRNAs have two regions of fundamental functional importance: the anti-codon, which is responsible for specific mRNA codon recognition, and the 3' end, to which the tRNAs corresponding amino acid is attached (by aminoacyl-tRNA synthetases). tRNAs cope with the degeneracy of the genetic code in two manners: having more than one tRNA (with a specific anti-codon) for a particular amino acid; and 'wobble' base-pairing, i.e. permitting non-standard base-pairing at the 3rd anti-codon position. The record is from RNAcentral. Lineage: Eukaryota; Fungi; Ascomycota; Leotiomycetes; Helotiales; Sclerotiniaceae.
UCCGGCAUGGUGUAAUGGUUAGCAUUUCCGCCUCUCACGCGGGAGAUCGGGGUUCAAUUCCCCGUACCGGAA